Molecule: ribosomal RNA, 599 nt
Filed under: Loma morhua
Lineage: Eukaryota; Fungi; Microsporidia; Glugeidae
Also listed under: 1 other name
Description: SSU rRNA
Rfam family: Microsporidia small subunit ribosomal RNA
Source: RNAcentral
AAWAAUGGCGACGCGAAAGAGAAAUCGAGUAGGGCCCUGGGGAGAGUACACGCGCAAGCGAGAAAUUUAAAGGAAAUUGACGGAAGAACACCACAAGGAGUGGAGUGUGCGGCUUAAUUUGACUCAACGCGGGACAACUUACCGGGCCCGACGACCGUAAGAGUGUGACACACGAUAGGUCGAAGAGUGGUGCAUGGCCGUUAACGACGAGUGGAGUGAUCUUUGGGUUAAGUCCGUAAAUUAGUGAGACCUCAGCCGUAAGGGACAGGUGCGCAAAGCACAGGAAGGAUGGGUCAAGGACAGGUCAGUGAUGCCCUUAGAUGGUCCGGGCUGCACGCGCACUACAGUGGUCGCCGAAAUUAGCUGAUAAUUUUAAAGGCGAUCGAGAGGGAAUGAGCUUUGUAAGAGGCUCAGGAACGAGGAAUUGCUAGUAAUCGCGGACUCAUUAAGACGCGAUGAAUACGUCCCUGUUCUUUGUACACACCGCCCGUCGUUAUCGAAGAUGAAGACAGGCGCGAACGAUCUACCAGAAAGUGAGCGCAGGUCUUUAGAUCUGAUACAAGUCGUAACAAGGUAGCUGUAGGUGAACCUGUAGCUGG